AUUGAACGCUGGCGGCAUGCCUUACACAUGCAAGUCGAACGGCAGCGCGGGAGCAAUCCUGGCGGCGAGUGGCGAACGGGUGAGUAACAUAUCGGAACGUGCCCUGGAGUGGGGAUAACUAGUCGAAAGAUUAGCUAAUACCGCAUACGAUCUACGGAUGAAAGUGGGGGAUCGCAAGACCUCAUGCUCGUGGAGCGGCCGAUAUCUGAUCAGCUAGUUGGUAGGGUAAAAGCCUACCAAGGCAUCGAUCAGUAGCUGGCUGAGAGGACGACCAGCCACACUGGGACUGAGACACGGCCCAGACUCCUACGGGAGGCAGCAGUGGGGAAUUUUGGACAAUGGGGCAACCCUGAUCCAGCAAUGCCGCGUGAGUGAAGAAGGCC
This 383-nucleotide ribosomal RNA is filed under the name uncultured bacterium. RNAcentral describes it as "bacterial SSU rRNA". It matches the Rfam family "Bacterial small subunit ribosomal RNA", at positions 30 to 416 of the family's 1533-position model. The record is from RNAcentral.